UACAUUCUCAGACAGACAUCAAAGUGAUUAUUACUCAUGAAUGAAUACAGAUUUAUUCAUUAUUAAAUUUGUUCCUGAGCAGUAAUGAUAUUGAUGUCUGUCUCAAAUGGGAU
RNAcentral lists this non-coding RNA (113 nucleotides) under Brugia malayi. Lineage: Eukaryota; Metazoa; Nematoda; Chromadorea; Rhabditida; Onchocercidae. The record is from RNAcentral.